Molecule: ribosomal RNA, 305 nt
Filed under: uncultured bacterium
Lineage: Bacteria
Description: bacterial SSU rRNA
Rfam family: Bacterial small subunit ribosomal RNA
Source: RNAcentral
GCCUACGGGACGCAGCAGUCGGGAAUAUUGCGCAAUGGAGGAAACUCUGACGCAGUGACGCCGCGUAUAGGACGAAGGUCUUCGGAUUGUAAACUAUUGUCGUUAGGGAAGAGAAAGGACAGUACCUAAGGAGGAAGCUCCGGCUAACUACGUGCCAGCAGCCGCGGUAAUACGUAGGGAGCGAGCGUUGUCCGGAAUUACUGGGUGUAAAGGGAGCGUAGGCGGGGAUGCAAGUUGGGUGUCAAAACUACCGGCUCAACUGGUAGUCGCACUCAAAACUGCAGCUCUUGAGUGAAGGAGAGGCG